AUUACAAACAGAAGAACAUACACUCCUUAGAAAAGAGGGCCAAUAAAUAUGAAAUCUAAGUUAAGACAUUAAAGCAAUGACAGAAAAAAAAUAAUACUAACUAUGUACAUAUUUCCAUAUUUCAUUAAUCAAGGUCAUGAAGGAGAGAAAAGACAACUUUGCGGCCAUGCCCGUCCUCAAGAAUCAUUGCCCUUCCUUGCAAGUUUGUCUUGUCCAGAAUCUCCAUCUUUGAUGGACCACAUACAUAGGCUCCAUAGAUCAUCGAGUCACAUGGCUCGUAAAGGAAUCUGUGAACGUUCUUGGAGCCGUUUUGCUGCUUGGACUAGAACAUGGUUUCCUGAUCUAACCAUCUUCUUCAGCUGGUGCAUGUAGCUCUCAAACGCAAAGGCACUGCAUUUGUCUAAUGAUCCAUAUGUGGUGGCAUCAGCAGUGAGGUGAAGCAGUGAGUGCACAUUGUACACUAGGAAUUCUUUCCCAUAUAUGUACCGGCCUUGUUCUACAAAAUAUGUGAGGAGCUCAUGGGCAUACACAUUGUGGGUUUGUGUUAAAUGUGGAGACACUAGUAUACACAAAGCCACACUAAAGGCCAUGAAAUGACUGUACAGGGAUUCUGGCAGGAUUCCCCGGAGAACAACUUUGCCAGUGUAGAGCAUAAACUGCCUGAAUUCAGUGGCCUUCCAUCUCUCCAAAUCCUCCAGACUGCGUGGCUUCCUGGCAAAAAUAUGGGGUAUGUCACUUCUCAAAUUCCUUAGCCUCUGAUUGACCUCCCUCAGCUGAGCUGGCGAUAGCCGAUGCCCCGACUUGCCCUGUGACCAUAGUAGGAGCAUUUUUCUCAUCACUCCCAGACAGCACUGGUGCAUGUAGUCAGCAGGGAAAGACUUGAUCAUGUCAAUUUGGAGAUUGCUGAAAGGGGACAAAGCAUUUUUCGUGAUGAUGUUCUGGCUGGUGUUGCUCUCUAAAUGAGACAUCAUUCCUCAAAGUGAGGUCAUGCACUUGUUGGUACGUGAUGCGCCCCUCCCAGUUG
Molecule: long non-coding RNA, 1024 nt
Organism: Cyprinus carpio carpio
Lineage: Eukaryota; Metazoa; Chordata; Actinopteri; Cypriniformes; Cyprinidae
Source: Ensembl